This 253-nucleotide ribosomal RNA is filed under the name uncultured bacterium. RNAcentral's name for it is "partial 16S ribosomal RNA". It matches the Rfam family "Bacterial small subunit ribosomal RNA", at positions 524 to 776 of the family's 1533-position model. The record is from RNAcentral.
UACGUAGGGUGCAAGCGUUGUCCGGAAUUAUUGGGCGUAAAGAGCUCAUAGGCGGUUUGUCGCGUCUGCUGUGAAAACUCGGGGCUUAACUCCGGGCCUGCAGUGGGUACGGGCAGACUAGAGUGCGGUAGGGGAGACUGGAAUUCCUGGUGUAGCGGUGAAAUGCGCAGAUAUCAGGAGGAACACCGGUGGCGAAGGCGGGUCUCUGGGCCGUAACUGACGCUGAGGAGCGAAAGCGUGGGGAGCGAACAGG